CAACUCAGUAAAUUGCCAGUUUUCAUCAUGAAACUUCAGAUCCAAUCAAAACAUUCAUGUUCAGCAAUCACUAAUAUAGGUGGGAAGGGCAAGGCAGAGCGGUUUAACAACUAUACAGCAAUGAAGGUAGUACACCGUAUCCAAAAAGAAAAAAUGUAAGAAGUAGCAACAGCUUGGCUGCAGAAUCAGCAAAAGUUCUUCCAGAAAGGAAAAACCAGUUGAACAGCAGAACAAGAGCAAGGAAACAUGUAAAUGAUUUCUUCUCAUCACGCCACAACAAUAUAUCUGCAACUGUAAUGACAAAGUUUGAGGUCAUUCUACAAGCUAACUUGAAUGAAUAAUUGCAAUCUUUAAGGGUUCUUAUCGAAGGAAAAAAAAAACAUUUGUGCAAUUCACCUUUUAUGUUCUACCUCAUUUUAAGUGAAGACUAGAAAGAAAUAAGAAGAUCCCUCUAGUUAUGUCGUGAA
Molecule: long non-coding RNA, 467 nt
Organism: Humulus lupulus (European hop)
Lineage: Eukaryota; Viridiplantae; Streptophyta; Magnoliopsida; Rosales; Cannabaceae
Exons: 2
Source: RefSeq, a predicted model, not a curated record